UGGAGGGGGAGGGAAGAGGGAGAGAAAGGGGAAGAGGAGAGGAAAGAGGAAGGGAGGGGUGCUGAUAUGAGAGCUGGAGGGGGGAGAAAAUGGCAAUUCUAGCUUCUGCCUCCAUGAUUUUUCUUUUUUUUUUUGCCAGUCCCAGGACUUGAACUCAGGGCCUAUGCACUGUCCCUGAGCCUCUUUGUGCUCAAGGCUAGUGUUCUACCUCUUUAGCCAUAGCAACACUACUGGCUUUCUCUGAGCAGUUAUUGAAGAUAGAGUUUCAAGGACUUUUCUGCCCAGGCUGGCUUUGAACCUCAAUCCUCAGAUCCCAGCCUCCUGAGUAGAUAGGAUUACAGAUGUGAGCCUCCAGUGCCCAGCUUUGAAGGAUAUUUUUAAAUAUCCUUUACAAUAUGAAGAGAAACAGCUGGAACUAAAAUGACAGCAAUGUUUUUUUCUCAACAUCAUAGUACUCUUGUAAUCUCAUUAUCCUGCAAGAACACAGGUAAAAAUGUCCAGAAACUCUUAAUAAUGUUUGACCAAAACAAUGAGGCCUGCAGGAACCUACAGAAUUUGAAAAGUUUCCUAAAGUAACAUAAUGAAAGUUAGUGCUUAACCCAAAAUGGGAAAAUCUAACUGGCAAUGAGGAAAAGCAAUCAAAGAAAAAGAGCAAUCAUAAACAUAAGGCACUAAAAUGUUUAUAAUCAUUAUUUUGAUACAGAAUAUUUAAUUCUUUCUUUGGAAAUGCAGCUAAAGAAGCUCUUGUGGGGGCUGGGGAUAUGGCCUAGUGGUAAGAGUGCUUGCCUCACAUACAUGAAGCCCUGAGUUUGAUUCCUCAGCACCACAUAUAUAGAAAAAAACAAAGCCAGAAGUGGUGC
Molecule: long non-coding RNA, 860 nt
Organism: Perognathus longimembris pacificus (Pacific pocket mouse)
Lineage: Eukaryota; Metazoa; Chordata; Mammalia; Rodentia; Heteromyidae
Exons: 3
Source: RefSeq, a predicted model, not a curated record